Molecule: long non-coding RNA, 2540 nt
Filed under: Amborella trichopoda
Lineage: Eukaryota; Viridiplantae; Streptophyta; Magnoliopsida; Amborellales; Amborellaceae
Description: long non-coding RNA (ATRI_LNC002266)
Source: RNAcentral
GAUAUCACUGUAUGAUCCAUAGGGUCAUACAAAUGACCCUAUAGUUCGUCACUUUUCAAGUUUGCCCUGUUCAAUCAAUAGGUUGGAUGGUGAUGGGAACAAUAUGGGUGGACCAUACAAGUUUUGACAUGUGGGACCCACUCCCCUCUAUGAAUGUCUAUGCGUCCAACCCAAUUAUGGAUGCUGAUAAGAUAUUAUAUGAUUUUGUAAAAUGAUAUUUGCUUUAUAUUUUCUCCCAUAUAUUUUUUUCAUUUUUAAAGAAAUUAUUAUACAUAUGUAUUUAAAUUUAUUGAGUGUAAAAUGAUAUUUGCUUUAAUAUUUUCUCCCAUAUAUUUUUUUCAUUUUUAAAGAAAAUAUUUAUACAUGGAGAUGUAUUUAAAUUUAUUGAGACAAUAUAGGUAAUACCUUUUUCAAAAAUUAAAUUAUGGAAGCAUGAGAAAGGUUGAAUUUAUUGUAUAUAAAACCCGGAAAAAAGAAGGUAUGAAAAGAAUUAGUUAUUUGUUUUGAAUAUUUUGGGCUUUUUACAAUUUCGUAACUCUUUUCCGUUACAUACCCUUUUAGAAUCAAAUGAGAAUGGCCAAAAUUUAGGAAAAUCAGCCCGUUUAAAUUCGCCUGAGAGACUGAUACAACUAAAUAGACGUAUUUGAAAUAUUCUUAAUUCCAUAGAGGUAGUCAAUGAUAAAAUAAAAAGAAUAAAUCCCAUACUGGCAUUCCAGAUUAAAAUAAAAAGGUAGAUUGUGGCAUUCCCCAUUUUAAGUGGAGAGGAAAACAUAACGGAGCGUAUGAUGCCUUUCAUUUAUAACCCGGCUGAGUUUCUUCCCUCAUUUGUAUUUUGGUAUGUCAUGUCUUAUAGCUGAUGACUUUGUGCAAGUAUCUGUUGUUGGCUUGUUGCUUCAUAUCAUUGUGUAAGCAGCUCUCUUGAGUAUGAAUUUCUCUACUCAUGCACACCAUUCACUAUCAUUUUUUCAUAUAAUACAUCGAUAUAUCGUAGAAUUUACAUUGUCUUAGAAUUUACAUUUUCAAUGUGUUGUUUUAGGUGUAGAUUCUCUUCAGCUGAUUUUAGUGGCGCAUAAUUUGAUAUAGUGCCUUUUUUAUUUGUGAAAUUUUUUAUUUAAUAUAGGGUUGCGUUAUGUUUUGUAAUGAUUAUCUCAAUAAGGCUCGUGAUCUUUCAUGGUUUUCACUUUCCAUCUAGAUCAAGGUGUUGUUUUGGUUGCAGUGGUGUUGGUUGCAGUGUCUCUUAUAUGGAAAAAGUUUAUACAAGGGCCAGGCUCUAAAAAUUCAAAUUAAGGUGCAUCUCAAAAAUUCACUAGAAGAGGUUGUUUUGAAUUUACAAGGCCCAAAAAUCCUCAAAUUGAUCAUCUCAACUUUAUGUACAUGAAAAAAAAAAGAUUUCAAGUCUUGGAAAUGGUGCAUAUUGUAAUGCAUUUUUGGACCAUCAAUUUUCAAGAUUUUCAAGUGUUUAUAGAUCUUUUUGAUCGACAUUAUUUUUAAAGCUUUAAAUUUUAUAAUUAGAGAUGAAAAUAAAUUUUCAGGUCAUCACAAAGAUAUCCAAUAUUGAAACAACAUUUUUCGAUACUAUUUAAAGGUGUGCCUAUUUAAAGGUGUGCCUUACUUUGAUGGUUUAGAGCCUCGGCCUCGUACAAGCCACACCCUUCUUAUAUUAUAUGCGGAAGAUAUGAUCUUAUGAACAUAGAAUAACUCUCGUCACUAGUGUUAUUAUGGUCCAAUCAAGGGAUGGUCAUGAUGGAGAGAGUGGGACUUGCCCUUGGUUAUAUUUUACGCUGGUGGAUCCAGCAAUUGCCAUUGUCCAUCCAUAGGUUGGUUUUGGUGGCACUUGUCAAUAGUAGAAUUUCUAUAUUUCUUGGAUCAUGGUAUAUCAGCGGCAUUGUAGACGAACAACUUUUUGCACAUCCAUCGUCUCGGACCUCCAUGAACAUGGAUCUUAAAGAAAAAAAACAAAAAAGAAAACAAAAUGGAUUUGGAGUCGUAAAAAAUGGUCCAUAUUAUGCCAUUUUAUCUGGGCCAUUUUCUCAAUUCUUGGUAGAUAGUCGGGUCUGGGCUAUUUAUAGAGCUUCAAAUCCAUAUCAGGAGCGGAAAUGGAUUUGCAGUGUUUCAAAUUGUUUUUUGGCCCUUGGAAAACUGCGUUUGGACUUGUUUUUCUUUUGCUUCUUUUUCGGUCGGUGGUUUUGGGUGGCGGUGGUGGGGGCGCUUUCUUAGUAACCCCUUGUCACCGAGGGCAGAGCUAGCCAUUUGAUCAUUCCCAUGGUUUUGUUGUGACUAGAGCAAGUUUGUUUCUAAGGUCUCAAGUGAUCAAAAUCUAUCUGCAAGGUCUCAUGGUAAAUAUAUUCAUUCUAUUGGCAGCCAGAAUGUCAGCAGAAAGUGUAUCUUGAAAAGACAAAUUCUUCGUUAUUCUUUUUUUUUUCCUUCUGGGACGGGAAUCAUUAAGGUCUAAAUAAAUUGGACUUAUUAUGUUUAUGAAUAUUGAACUUAUAGAAAAAUAUGCGUCUAUGAAAAUGUCAACUGAAACUAUAGAAACAAAU